This 492-nucleotide ribosomal RNA is filed under the name uncultured bacterium. RNAcentral's name for it is "partial 16S ribosomal RNA". It matches the Rfam family "Bacterial small subunit ribosomal RNA", at positions 29 to 507 of the family's 1533-position model. The record is from RNAcentral.
AGUGAACGCUGGCGGUAGGCCUAACACAUGCAAGUCGAACGGCAGCACAGUAAGAGCUUGCUCUUACGGGUGGCGAGUGGCGGACGGGUGAGGAAUACAUCGGAAUCUACUUUUUCGUCGGGGAUAACGUAGGGAAACUUACGCUAAUACCGCAUACGACCUACGGGUGAAAGCAGGGGAUCUUCGGACCUUGCGCGAUUGAAUGAGCCGAUGUCGGAUUAGCUAGUUGGCGGGGUAAAGGCCCACCAAGGCGACGAUCCGUAGCUGGUCUGAGAGGAUGAUCAGCCACACUGGAACUGAGACACGGUCCAGACUCCUACGGGAGGCAGCAGUGGGGAAUAUUGGACAAUGGGCGCAAGCCUGAUCCAGCCAUACCGCGUGGGUGAAGAAGGCCUUCGGGUUGUAAAGCCCUUUUGUUGGGAAAGAAAAGCAGCAGGUUAAUACCCCGCUGUUCUGACGGUACCCAAAGAAUAAGCACCGGCUAACUUCGUG